ACAGGCUCGUCCACUUGGUGCCCUUCUAUUAACCAAUCACAGUCAUUCUUUGCAUCUGUUUGGAAAGCGUCAGUGCACGCAGUGCAACUCAAUGGAAACAAAGUUGAUAUACGGCUAAAUGCAUGUACGUUUCUCUGCAGAAGAUUGUUUAUAAAAUUAAUAACAGUAAGGAUUUACCCCAGACUGAGGUUUGAAGACGGACAACUGACAGAAACGUGACUGCACAGAAGCUAACAGUGACAGCUACAGCUAGCUGCAAGGCUAAACUAAUGCAGUGACAGCAUGACUGCUGCUGAGGCGACUGGCAGACCGGCAGGCCGAAGCUCUGCACCCGAGAAAUCCAGGUUCCGCCAUGCAGAUACUCAGGACUGUGCACAACACAAUGAGACACGCGUUCUGAAAAGGGAAACCCCCUGUGGGUGGCUCUCAGCACAAUAACAGAAUGGAGGCUUAUCAAUCUGCCACGAUGAUGUUCCAAGGCUGCUUCUCCAGCAGCAGCUGCACCACUGAUCACUCUGAUGAGCAGGAAGCUUCAGGGCUCACACUGCUGCUCUUUUGAUCUCCGGAUGACCUGCUCAGCACAAGGCAUCCAAAUCCUCCUCAUCUCAUGUCAGAUUUAGAAAAAGACAGACUGGAGAGGAGAAAUCAAGGCAUCUGAAGAAACAUCAGGCACACAUGGGGAGAGCAUGAAGACUCCAAACACAAUGACCAUCUAUUCUCCCUGCUGUAAG
Long non-coding RNA from Cynoglossus semilaevis (tongue sole), 731 nucleotides. RefSeq lists it as uncharacterized. NCBI's taxonomy places the organism in Eukaryota, Metazoa, Chordata, Actinopteri, Pleuronectiformes, Cynoglossidae. The transcript has 5 exons. The record is from RefSeq and is a predicted model, not a curated record.